Molecule: ribosomal RNA, 484 nt
Filed under: uncultured bacterium
Lineage: Bacteria
Description: partial 16S ribosomal RNA
Rfam family: Bacterial small subunit ribosomal RNA
Source: RNAcentral
AUUGAACGCUGGCGGCAGGCCUAACACAUGCAAGUCGAGCGGAUGAAGGGAGCUUGCUCCUGGAUUCAGCGGCGGACGGGUGAGUAAUGCCUAGGAAUCUGCCUGGUAGUGGGGGAUAACGUCCGGAAACGGGCGCUAAUACCGCAUACGUCCUGAGGGAGAAAGAGGGGGAGCUUCGGACCUCACGCUAUCAGAUGAGCCUAGGUGGGAUUAGCUAGUUGGUGGGGUAAAGGCCUACCAAGGCGACGACCGGUAACUGGUCUGAGAGGAUGAUCAGUCACACUGGAACUGAGACACGGUCCAGACUCCUACGGGAGGCAGCAGUGGGGAAUAUUGGACAAUGGGCGAAAGCCUGAUCCAGCCAUGCCGCGUGUGUGAAGAAGGUCUUCGGAUUGUAAAGCACUUUAAGUUGGGAGGAAGGGCAGUAAGUUAAUACCUUGCUGUUUUGACGUUACCAACAGAAUAAGCACCGGCUAACUUCGUG